RNAcentral lists this transfer RNA (71 nucleotides) under Marmota monax (woodchuck). It matches the Rfam family "tRNA". Rfam says of the family: Transfer RNA (tRNA) molecules are approximately 80 nucleotides in length. Their secondary structure includes four short double-helical elements and three loops (D, anti-codon, and T loops). The record is from Rfam by way of RNAcentral. Lineage: Eukaryota; Metazoa; Chordata; Mammalia; Rodentia; Sciuridae.
ACAGCUAUAGCUCAGUGGUACAGUGCUUGUCUACCAUGCAUGAGAUCCUGGGUUUGAUUCCCAGAACUGAA